UGCUUGUGCAGAAUGUUCCUUGGCUUUGUGGUGGAUUCUUGUGGUUAGCCUGGGUUUUCCAUGUGUAUCCUGCUUUCUCGUGGCUACCACCACUGAUUCAGAAGUUCUGGGGAGAAAGAAAUGGGCCAACAUUCUGCCUGUAUUUCUAUUGACUCUAUACUUCCAUUUUAUUCACAGAAAGUAGAGCGUCCAUCUAAAGUGACUAAUAGAUGGAUCAAAGAAUCAGCAACUUCAUUAGUAAGUAAAUCAAAAUUAAAAUUGUAUGGUGUAGCUUUUCUUACCUGUCAAUAAAGCAAUAAUAAAGCAUUUGGUAAUAUUUAAUGUUAUUCUGGUCACAGAUUGCUGGAGAGAGUGUAAAUGGGUUCAGAUUUUCUGCUGGGAAAAUCGAC
RNAcentral lists this long non-coding RNA (389 nucleotides) under Mustela putorius furo (domestic ferret). RNAcentral's name for it is "lncRNA (ENSMPUG00000029705.1)". Lineage: Eukaryota; Metazoa; Chordata; Mammalia; Carnivora; Mustelidae. The record is from RNAcentral.